Molecule: ribosomal RNA, 338 nt
Filed under: uncultured bacterium
Lineage: Bacteria
Description: bacterial SSU rRNA
Rfam family: Bacterial small subunit ribosomal RNA
Source: RNAcentral
ACUCCUACGGGAGGCAGCAGUGGGGAAUAUUGCACAAUGGGCGCAAGCCUGAUGCAGCCAUGCCGCGUGUAUGAAGAAGGCCUUCGGGUUGUAAAGUACUUUCAGCAGUGAGGAAGGUGGUAUGUUAAUAGCGCCUCAUUUGACGUUAGCUGCAGAAGAAGCACUCGGCUAACUCCGUGCCAGCAGCCGCGGUAAUACGGAGGGUGCGAGCGUUAAUCGGAAUUACUGGGCGUAAAGCGCAUGCAGGUGGUUUGUUAAGUCAGAUGUGAAAGCCCGGGGCUCAACCUCGGAAUUGCAUUUGAAACUGGCAGACUAGAGUACUGUAGAGGGGGUGAGAA